This 3309-nucleotide long non-coding RNA is filed under the name Lactuca sativa (garden lettuce). RNAcentral describes it as "long non-coding RNA (LSAT_LNC002050)". The record is from RNAcentral. Lineage: Eukaryota; Viridiplantae; Streptophyta; Magnoliopsida; Asterales; Asteraceae.
GGGAUUCAUACGUUUUCUUGGGCUUAUGUGCACGAUCAGAGGAAGCCUCGUCCCAACUGAUUUGGGUGUUGUGCGUCCGUCAUCUAAGAGAAAAAAAAAAAAUGAAUGGCCACAUGUGCGUUUCUUUUCUUCGGCUCGUGUGUGCGUAUCACAAAAAAAAAAAAACGAAUCCAAUUCGUUGGCUUUCUAUGCGUAGAUCAAGAACGAACCAAAUUAAUUUAUGGGUUGUUGCUAUUUGUUUGCAUCGAUCGACAGUAAGAAAGAGGUAAAGUCGAACGUGAAGGUGAAGAUGGAGUUGGGUUGUGUCGAUCUAUGGCCGAGAGAGAGGAGGCGAGUAGGAAAGCCGAAGACAUCGAUUGUUUUGGACUCAAUUGAAGCUGUGGAAUUCGACUCAACAGGUAGCCUUCCCGACUUUUCAUCUUUCUCAUGUGAUUAAACUCCAAAGUUAUGGCAAUUUGAUUUAGUUAUGAGAUUGAAUUGCUUUUCAAUUGAUUAUAAUAAUCUUCUCCAUCCUACUCUCAAUUCUAGUGUUUAUGAGGGAGCAAGUACCAGCAGUGUGAGGUGUGUUCUUGGCUAUUUCUUGCUGUCAAAAUUCCUUUUGAAAACACUUCAUCACGUGUUGGAAUUGGUACUCAAGAAUUGGUUACAAUCUUGGAGCCAAAUGCUUUCUUUUGUUGUAAGAAUUCAUGUUUUUGUUAUCUUCAAUUCUCUUGGAUUCGUGUCAGUGAUUUCCUUCAUAUAAGACCUUGUUUUGAACUAUCCAAAAGGUCUUAAAAACAGUCCCUAAAAGGUCUUGAUGUGAAGCUUAAUGAUGGAGAAAAUUCAAGCCCUAGUGGUGUUUUCUCUUUUAGCAAAGUACUUUGUUUUUCCCGAUAUAAGCAAUGUACUUUGAGUCAUGGUUUGAGGUUGAAGUUGUUAUUUUAAUUUCUUGACAUGUUGCUACUGGCAAGUACUCAAUUUUAAUCUUUAUAGUUGAUUUUGGUUAUGGCUUAAUGGGUUAAGUGUCAAAUAACUCGCCGGGAAAUUCUGAAUAUUUCCCAUUCUGCCCCUGUUUUGAAAAAAAUGUAGAAAAAUCAUCAGAAGUCGUAUCAAUGAUCUGUAAACUCUCAAAGCUUUCAUUUUGAGUCUAGGUUGUCCAUGAAUUUUUCCAAGCCCUUUUGUUGCCUCCAACUUAGGUGAAAAUUGACUUUUUCACUGACUGGUCGGAAAUUAGCUGUAUGGAUAGACUGUUUUGCAAAAAUCAUAUAAAAUUGUAGAAAAAUCGUUUGGACUUUUAAAAGUACUUUCUGAAAAGCUAAAAGUAUAAACUACUGGAAUAUACAAAAAUACUGUAUAAUUUGCCGUCCUUGGUGGUGUUAAAAUGGCUUUGAACAUGUGGCUGUUACGGGUCAAAAUCUUGAACUUUGUUCUAAACGUUCGUCUAUAUGUUUAGACAUUCAACUCUCAACAUUUUUGUGUCAUCUGUUUGAUAUUCUUAUAAAGUACCCAAUCGAUGUCUUAAUACUAUCAUUCAAUCAUCUUGUGUGUAAAAUUGAGCAUCUAUAAUCAUUUACCUAAAGUUUUGAAUCAUAUAAUGAUUUUUGGUGAAUGUUAGAAUUCUGCACAACAACUUUUCCCCAUCUUGUGAGAGCUAUAGCUGCUAAUUCGGGCAGAAUUGGUAGAUGCUCCUCUCUCAUGUAGUUCUAGGAAAUCGAGUCUAGUUUCUAGAAAAUCCGAUGUCAUCCCCAUUAGAGCUGUAGAUUCUGUUUUAUGCUUAAAACACUAAACGGGGGUCGGGCUGGGAAAUUAUAAAAAAAAUAAUAAUAUAAAAGUUAGAAUAAAGUUGUAUCUAUUGAAACAUAUACUUUAUUUGUUAAUUGAAUGUUAUGUGUGGUGUUUAGGUGGAGCCUUGAGAACUUCAAGUAAGUUCAAGACUUGGAAUAGAAGGAAAUUUUCAUCAAGGCUAAAGGUGAGUUCAUAGUUUUAACUCACUAAGGUUGCAUUAUUGAAACUUGCAAUCUGUAGAUGGUGAUUUGCUUCACUUUAGGAUGACCAUGUCAUUAUUUGUGCUUGAUGAUGAUAUGAUAUUUGUGAUGCUAAAAUACGCUUUGUGCUAAUGCCAUGAUAUGACCUAAUUGCUAUGUUGCUUACACUUUGAUGUCCUUGAUGUAUACGACAUGCUAGCUUAAGUUACUUGAAAUAUGAUGUAUGUUUAUGUUUUGAUGUUUUGGUUAUGAAUACAUUGCAUGUUUAAUACACAUUUAUAUGGUAUGCAUUACAUGCUUUACUUAAUGUAUAAAUGACAUUGCGGGGUUAUGUGUAGUGGGUUUGGGUAGUUUGAUGAUCUUUGCCUAAAACCUUAUCUGGAUCAUUAAGGGUGCCUACUAGGUUGAAAGAGUACCUAUAGGAAGAGCUAUAGCCACAACGGUGAUUAGUUGUCGGUAUUUCUAGAUGAUCGUGUGACACAUGGUUUGCGGGCACUUCGGUGUUCGUGGGCUGGAGUGAUGUUGGUCCCUCGUUCGCGGCCAGCGCAAACAUCACGUGGGAAUCGGGAGGUGUAUCGUUGGAAUUGGCAUCGUUUGUACCGAUCCUGAACGACACCGCGGGGUACUUGUACUUUGCAAAGUCGGAGUAGCGAAAGUGGAGUCACGGGGUUGGUGUUUCGGGUGGAAGUCAUGAGCCACUUAGAGCAUUCAGCUGGCUGUGCACACAAGUAGUGAACAGGGUGUUUCUCUCGGGUUAGGUAGCACUAAGAGACACUUUUCUAUCAAUCGGUUGGAUAGAUAUAAUAAAAGGUUGAACAUGCAACAAACGGUUGGUUGCAUAUUAAAAAGUUGAAUAUAUAACAAAGGUUAAUUAUUAACAUAAGGUUGAACAUGUAACAAAAGGUUGGUUACAUAUUAAAAGGUUGAAUAUAUAUCAAAGGUUGCUUAUUAAUAAAAAGUGAACAUUUAACAGUUGCUUAUAUAUGAAAGGUGAUUAAUUAUAUGUUAUGCGGUUGCUUAUGUGGUAUUUGGUUGAUCAUAUAUGUUAUGUGGUAGAAUUGUGAUUAAACAUAUAUGCAUGUAUGCGGUUGAAUAAUUAUGAUAUGCGAUUGUUUUCUAAGUGGUAUUUGUCUAUCUUUUUGAUGCUUCAUCUUAAAAUGAAUGAUUGACCCAUUUGGGGUUUGUAUGUUUUAUGUGCAACUUUUUGAACUCACUCAGCAGGGGCUGACACUUGUAUCUUUUUUCUUUUGUGCCUUAUGAUUGGUACAAGCAGUUUAGAAGAUUAGCCUUGGUGAGAGGGGUUCUUAUGGGUAGUAGAUUUAUAUUAACGAUACCACUCUUGGAC